RNAcentral lists this non-coding RNA (24 nucleotides) under Arabidopsis thaliana (thale cress). The record is from RNAcentral. Lineage: Eukaryota; Viridiplantae; Streptophyta; Magnoliopsida; Brassicales; Brassicaceae.
UUGGGUGGACAAUAAACCGCUGCA